Molecule: ribosomal RNA, 497 nt
Filed under: uncultured bacterium
Lineage: Bacteria
Description: partial 16S ribosomal RNA
Rfam family: Bacterial small subunit ribosomal RNA
Source: RNAcentral
GACGAACGCUGGCGGCGUGCCUAAUACAUGCAAGUUGAGCGAUGAAGAUUGGUGCUUGCACCAAUUUGAAGAGCAGCGAACGGGUGAGUAACGCGUGGGGAAUCUGCCUUUGAGCGGGGGAUAACAUUUGGAAACGAAUGCUAAUACCGCAUAACAACUUUAAACAUAAGUUUUAAGUUUGAAAGAUGCAAUUGCAUCACUCAAAGAUGAUCCCGCGUUGUAUUAGCUAGUUGGUGAGGUAAAGGCUCACCAAGGCGAUGAUACAUAGCCGACCUGAGAGGGUGAUCGGCCACAUUGGGACUGAGACACGGCCCAAACUCCUACGGGAGGCAGCAGUAGGGAAUCUUCGGCAAUGGACGAAAGUCUGACCGAGCAACGCCGCGUGAGUGAAGAAGGGUUUCGGAUCGUAAAACUCUGUUGGUAGAGAAGAACGUUGGUGAGAGUGGAAAGCUCAUCAAGUGACGGUAACUACCCAGAAAGGGACGGCUAACUACGUG